RNAcentral lists this ribosomal RNA (387 nucleotides) under Oerstedia dorsalis. Its description in RNAcentral is "partial 16S ribosomal RNA". It matches the Rfam family "Bacterial large subunit ribosomal RNA", at positions 1845 to 2576 of the family's 2925-position model. Lineage: Eukaryota; Metazoa; Nemertea; Enopla; Monostilifera; Oerstediidae. The record is from RNAcentral.
AUUAAAAGUAUUUUCUGCUCAGUGUUUAUAAAUAGCUGCGGUAAUUUGACCGUGCAAAGGUAGCAUAAUCAUUUGCUUCAUAAUUGGGGGCUAGUAUGAAUGGAAAUAUGAAAAUUUUUCUUUCUUUUUAUUUUUUUAAAAAAUUGUAGUUAAUGUGAAGAUACAUUAUUUUUAAUAAAAGACAAGAAGACCCUUUUGAGCUUUUAUUUAGUUGGGGCGAUUAAAGAAGACUUCUUUUUAUUUUGACCCAAAGUUUUUUGGUUUUUAGAAUUAGUUACCAAAGGGAUAACAGCGUAAUUUUUUUUAAGAGUUCUAAUUAAAAAAAAAGAUUGCGACCUCGAUGUUGACUUAUAAUUUCCUUUUGGUGCAGUAGCUUAUAGGGUUGGU